AGCCAUUUUGCCUUCAAUCGCUCGUUACUUACACUACUCACUGCCUGAACCAGAGACACCCACUUGACAUUAUGCAGUAGGUACCCCGAAUACUGUUAUCAAACAACUAGGUCUACUUGCCUGGCACAAAAAUCCAAACACUGACAUCGGGAUUGCAGCGAGAGAAAGUGAGGCAUUUAUUGCCUGGCACCAAGCAAGGAGAAUCAGGCAGCUCAGGCUGAAGACCCAAACUCCCCAAGAGCUUACAGGGUAUCAGGGGAUAUGCCUCCCAACAUGAGAGUGUAAAUUGAAGAAGAAGAAAACAGCAUAGUGAACCCAGGAGGGAGGAGAGGUAAUCCUCAGCAUGAAAGUGAAGGGAGAUCACAGUCUGAUGACCUGCUGCAGUUGAAGCUGACAGCGCCAGCCUGCAGGACAAGGAUGACAUCAACACAAGGCUUGAUGUGUCAAGAGUUUUGAGUGGAAAUUCAGAAACUUUAGAGAAUUUGUGGCUGAAAACCAAGC
Molecule: long non-coding RNA, 501 nt
Filed under: Homo sapiens (human)
Lineage: Eukaryota; Metazoa; Chordata; Mammalia; Primates; Hominidae
Description: HSALNT0211318
Source: RNAcentral